GACGAACGCUGGCGGCGUGCUUAACACAUGCAAGUCGAACGGUAAGGCCCUGUCUGGGGUACACGAGCGGCGAACGGGCGAGUAACACGUGCGUAACCUGCCCACAACUUUGGGAGAACGCUAGGAAACUGGCGCGAAUACUGGAUAUGUGCUCCUUCUGCAUGGAGGGGGUUGGAAAGCUCCGGCGGGUGUGGAUGGACUGGCGGCCUAUCUGCUUGUUGGUGGGGGUGUGGGCUACCAAGGCGGGGACGGGGAGGCGGCCUGGGAGGGUGACCGGCCACAUUGGGACUGAGAUACGGCCCCGGCUCCUACGGGAGGCCGCCGGGGGGAAUAUUGCACAAUGGGCGCGAGCCUGGUGCAGCAACGCCGCGGGCGGGAGGACGGCCUUCGGGUUGUAAACCGCUUUCAGCAGGGACGAAGCUUUUUGUGACGGUACCUGCAGAAGAAGCACCGGCUAACUACGUG
RNAcentral lists this ribosomal RNA (465 nucleotides) under uncultured bacterium. Its description in RNAcentral is "partial 16S ribosomal RNA". It matches the Rfam family "Bacterial small subunit ribosomal RNA", at positions 28 to 507 of the family's 1533-position model. The record is from RNAcentral.